This is a long non-coding RNA of Gadus macrocephalus (Pacific cod), 858 nucleotides long. RefSeq lists it as uncharacterized. Lineage: Eukaryota; Metazoa; Chordata; Actinopteri; Gadiformes; Gadidae. The record is from RefSeq and is a predicted model, not a curated record. The transcript has 3 exons.
UGAUUCUGCAGGCCAAUUACAGCCCAAUUAGAAGCAUAACUGGCAGUAUCAAUUGGAAGUACAUAGUUCAGCUGAACAAUGUCCGAAAGAAAAGUGGACUACAUGCUGCCAACCGAGUCACAGAUAAGCAUGUGAACUUUGCUAAUCAGAAGAUGAAGUCAAUCAAGGUCUCCCUGGCUGCUCAGACUUUGAGUAACUCUGUGGCAGUGGCGGUCCGCACCUUGCAGGACGUGGGCUAUGCAGAGUUCAAAGAUUGUGAGGCUACUUCUGAAUUAAUUCAGAUAACAGACAAGCUGUUUGACAUCUUGAACAGUCGCAAUCCCAGAGCCAAAGGGUUCAAAGCCCCCCUUGGUUCCAGGAAUUGGACAAGCACCAGGGAGUUCUUGAUAAAACCCAGGGGGUACUUGCUCACUUUGAAGAUGGAGGAUGGCAAAACCCUUUACCGAACAAAGAGGUCUUUUAAAAUAGUGUCAAUUGGUGAUGCACUUACACCAUUUGUAGUCGCCCCGUUCAAAUUCUUAAUUCUAAUUAAAUUAUUGUGUGCUCAAUUAGAAAAUAAGUGUUUAUUUUAUUAUUCGUUAGAUUUAUACAAGUAGUCAAUUUACAAAUCAUUAAAUUAUCUAAGGUAAAACUCUACUGGUUUCAGUGCAUCCCUCAAGUCCAUGAUACAAGUUCAACAGAUGCUCUGUUCUCUUGUUUAUCCACAGUCUUCUGUGUCUCCUGCAUCAUGUUCAGAUGCUCUGUCCUCCUGUCUGCAUCAAGUUCAUGAGAUGCUCUGUCCUGUAAAAUGUUCUGUCCUGUCUGCAUCGAGUUCAUGAGAUGCUCUUUUAUGUUCAUGUAUUGCAUGGUCUGCAUGUU